CCAUGCUUGGAAGAAGCCAUUUGGGGAAAGAGGGACCAGGCCAUUCCACACAUCCCAGCCAAUAGCUAGAGCUGAGCCCUGCCAGGCACCAUCACUGAAGAUUGGGGUCUUCAUGACACAAAAGUAUAAAAUAGGUUGUCUUUUUGUAACAUGCUUUAGAAAAUAGGUUGUCUUUUUGUAACAUGCUUUAGAAUGGGUGUGGGGGAAUCACUGUUGUUUGUUCACCUGUAUUUGGAAUAAUUUAAAAUUCCUCAUUUUGUAAGUACAAAUCAUGAGUCACAGUGCACGAGAACAUGGGACAGACCCAAGUAACAGAAUUCAAUGUGCUUAAGAUACUCUCUCUUCCGAUGACCAAGGCUUUUGGUUUUCAUUGCUUUUACUUAUUAAAGUAAACUCACUGGCUCCUUCCUUCUUCAGGAUUUGUUCUUCUGCAGAAGCCCCCUUAGAGUUCUCUCGUCCUGAUGCUCUAUAAGUUCUCCAGAGAUGUCCAAGAAAAGUCUGCACCUCACUUAGAUUCAAGCUAGGAGAGCUGCCAUGCUAGAAUCCUUGGCUGCCACAAAAGCAGUGAUCUGUUCAACACUAGAGGGGAACUUUAUACUCACUCUGGGAGUGUAGCUCACUCAGCAGAACCCUCUCUAUACCAUUAGCCCUUCUGAAUCCUCAAGGAGGUGUAAGAUAGCACGUAAUCAGUUUUCAGAAUCCUUUCACGUACCUCUCUCACUUCAAACUUGUGCCUCUCUCCCAUACCUUGGUUCUCCAAGCAAGAUGGGAGAGUCAGCUUAGCCUGCUUCACUAACUACAGUCACCAAACCAGGUCAGUUUUAACUCCUAAAUCUCUCUCUUUCUCUCUGUC
This is a long non-coding RNA of Physeter macrocephalus (sperm whale), 853 nucleotides long. RefSeq lists it as uncharacterized. The record is from RefSeq and is a predicted model, not a curated record. Lineage: Eukaryota; Metazoa; Chordata; Mammalia; Artiodactyla; Physeteridae. The transcript is spliced from 3 exons.